Molecule: non-coding RNA, 387 nt
Organism: Arachis ipaensis
Lineage: Eukaryota; Viridiplantae; Streptophyta; Magnoliopsida; Fabales; Fabaceae
Source: RefSeq, a predicted model, not a curated record
CCAUUGUCGCAGAGCUCUCUCCGCCGCCACUCUCAUCACAUCUGCUCCAUUUGGCGCCUCUUCCAUCUAAUCUCAACAACUCGCUCUCUCAGUUCUUCUUGUAACCAUCUCGAAUUUUAGGGUUGUUGAAUAUCAAGUCAAAUCUACAGCACAACAUCUGAUUAAGGAACUGUUGUCUAUUGAUUCUUGCAAUUGCAAUUUCUCUCUACGCCAAUGCUCUUCUUGCUAAGCUCCAUGAAUUUGGUGGAACAAGGCAUAUUAGAUACAGAGAUUUAGCUGGCUUUAUCUAUGGUAGAAAAGCAUAUUCUCUCACAUGGGCCCUACAGUAUAUCAAUCUUUUCAUGAUAAAUGCUGGCUAUAUCAUCUUGGCUGGUUCUGCCUUAAAGG